RNAcentral lists this ribosomal RNA (253 nucleotides) under uncultured bacterium. RNAcentral describes it as "partial 16S ribosomal RNA". It matches the Rfam family "Bacterial small subunit ribosomal RNA", at positions 524 to 776 of the family's 1533-position model. The record is from RNAcentral.
CACGUAGGGUGCGAGCGUUGUCCGGAAUUAUUGGGCGUAAAGAGCGCGCAGGCGGUCGUUCAAGUCGCGUGUGAAAGCCCCCGGCUCAACUGGGGAGGGUCACGCGAUACUGAUCGACUCGAAGGCAGGAGAGGGUAGUGGAAUUCCCGGUGUAGUGGUGAAAUGCGUAGAUAUCGGGAGGAACACCAGUGGCGAAGGCGACUACCUGGCCUGUUCUUGACGCUGAGGCGCGAAAGCUAGGGGAGCAAACGGG